CAGGUCUUAUUAAUCAGGAGACAAAAAGGUGAUUCAAAAACUAAUGUUGGAAAGAAAAAGAGAGUCCUAAUCCUCUUCCUACAUUUAGCAUCAUGACCCGGCAUAAACAGAAAAAAUCCAGCAAGAAAUCCAAACAUAGCAA
Long non-coding RNA from Protobothrops mucrosquamatus (brown spotted pit viper), 142 nucleotides. RefSeq lists it as uncharacterized. Lineage: Eukaryota; Metazoa; Chordata; Lepidosauria; Squamata; Viperidae. The record is from RefSeq and is a predicted model, not a curated record. The transcript is spliced from 2 exons.